This 337-nucleotide unclassified non-coding RNA is filed under the name uncultured Microascus. Its description in RNAcentral is "sequence contains ITS1". The stretch from base 1 to 105 matches the Rfam family "5.8S ribosomal RNA", at positions 50 to 154 of the family's 154-position model. The record is from RNAcentral. Lineage: Eukaryota; Fungi; Ascomycota; Sordariomycetes; Microascales; Microascaceae.
GAAAUGCGAUAAGUAAUGUGAAUUGCAGAAUUCAGUGAAUCAUCGAAUCUUUGAACGCACAUUGCGCCCGGCAGAUUGCUGCCGGGCAUGCCUGUCCGAGCGUCAUUUCUUCCCUCGAGCGCGGCUAGCCCUACGGGGCCUGCCGUCGCCCGGUGUUGGGGCUCUACGGGUGGGGCUCGUCCCCCCCUCAGUCCCCGAAAUGUAGUGGCGGUCCAGCCGCGGCGCCCCCUGCGUAGUAGAUCCUACAUCUCGCAUCGGGUCCCGGCGAAGGCCAGCCGUCGAACCUUUUAUUUCAUGGUUUGACCUCGGAUCAGGUAGGGUUACCCGCUGAACUUAA